GACGAACGCUGGCGGCGUGCUUAACACAUGCAAGUCGAACGGUAAGGCCCUUCGGGGUACACGAGUGGCGAACGGGUGAGUAACACGUGGGUGAUCUGCCCUGCACUUCGGGAUAAGCCUGGGAAACUGGGUCUAAUACCGGAGAGGACCACGCCCUUCACGGUGUGUGGUGGAAAGCUUUUGCGGUGUGGGAUGGGCCCGCGGCCUAUCAGCUUGUUGGUGGGGUAAUGGCCUACCAAGGCGACGACGGGUAGCCGGCCUGAGAGGGUGACCGGCCACACUGGGACUGGGAUACGGCCCAGACUCCUACGGGAGGCAGCAGUGGGAAAUAUUGCACAAUGGGCGCAAGCCUGAUGCAGCGACGCCGCGUGAGGGAUGACGGCCUUCGGGUUGUAAACCUCUUUCAGUAGGGACGAAGCGCAAGUGACGGUACCUACAGAGGAAGGACCGGCCAACUACGUGCCAGCCGCCGCGGUAA
RNAcentral lists this ribosomal RNA (478 nucleotides) under uncultured bacterium. Its description in RNAcentral is "partial 16S ribosomal RNA". It matches the Rfam family "Bacterial small subunit ribosomal RNA", at positions 28 to 523 of the family's 1533-position model. The record is from RNAcentral.